Molecule: ribosomal RNA, 623 nt
Filed under: uncultured bacterium
Lineage: Bacteria
Description: bacterial SSU rRNA
Rfam family: Bacterial small subunit ribosomal RNA
Source: RNAcentral
AGAGUUGAUCCUGGCUCAGAACGAACGCUGGCGGCAGGCCUAACACAUGCAAGUCGAACGCCCCGCAAGGGGAGUGGCAGACGGGUGAGUAACGCGUGGGAACAUACCCUUUCGGUUCGGAAUAGCUCAGGGAAACUUGGAUUAAUACCGGAUACGUCCGUAAGGAGAAAGAUUUAUCGCCGAAGGAUUGGCCCGCGUCUGAUUAGCUUGUUGGUGAGGUAAUGGCUCACCAAGGCGACGAUCAGUAGCUGGUCUGAGAGGAUGACCAGCCACAUUGGGACUGAGACACGGCCCAAACUCCUACGGGAGGCAGCAGUGGGGAAUAUUGGACAAUGGGCGAAAGCCUGAUCCAGCCAUGCCGCGUGAGUGAUGAAGGCCUUAGGGUUGUAAAGCUCUUUUACCCGGGAAGAUAAUGACGGUACCGGGAGAAUAAGCCCCGGCUAACUUCGUGCCAGCAGCCGCGGUAAUACGAAGGGGGCUAGCGUUGUUCGGAAUUACUGGGCGUAAAGCGCACGUAGGCGGAUUUUUAAGUCAGGGGUGAAAUCCCGAGGCUCAACCUCGGAACUGCCUUUGAUACUGGGAAUCUUGAGUCCGGGAGAGGUGAGUGGAACUGCGAGUGUAGA